AGUUACUUCCCUUCGGACAAACACGAUCGAAUUUACGACUACAGUAUUUUUUUAACAAUCCAGCAACAAUUCUCGCAAUUUGAAGCAGUAUAUCUUUUAGCAUGCCUGAUGUUGACUGGGGAGGUAUAUGUGCACUCAUGCAGAAGAAGUAGAAGUUUUCACAUCCAAUUUGGCAUUUAGAGAAGCUGAUCCGAAGUCCGGUGUUGGCAGUGUGUGAUCGACAACCCUUGUUUUGCCUCGCUGCGCUCUAUUACCUUGUAGACAUUGUGGAAUUUGGACAUGUUCUACUACACCAAAUCAGAACCAGUU
This is a long non-coding RNA of Haliotis rufescens (red abalone), 309 nucleotides long. RefSeq lists it as uncharacterized. The transcript has 3 exons. Lineage: Eukaryota; Metazoa; Mollusca; Gastropoda; Lepetellida; Haliotidae. The record is from RefSeq and is a predicted model, not a curated record.